AUCAACUUUCGAUGGUAGGAUAGAGGCCUACCAUGGUGGUAACGGGUAACGGGGUGUUAGGGCACGACACCGGAGAGGGAGCCUGAGAAACGGCUACCACAUCCAAGGAUGGCAGCAGGCGCGCAAAUUACCCAAUCCCGACACGGGGAGGUAGUGACAAUAAAUAACAAUACGGGGUUCUUUCGGAUCUCGUAAUUGGAAUGAGUACAAUUUAAAUCUCUUAACGAGGAACAAUUGGAGGGCAAGUCUGGUGCCAGCAGCCGCGGUAAUUCCAGCUCCAAUAGCGUAUAUUAAAGUUGCUGCAGUUAAAAAGCUCGUAGUUGAAUUUCGGGACCAAUAUGUCGGUCGUGCUUCGGUACGUACUGUCAUAAUUGGUUUCUCCCUUCUGAAAAACCUUGAUGUCAUUAAUUUGGUGUCUUGGGGAAUCAGGACUGUUACUUUGAAAAAAUUAGAGUGUUUAAAGCAGGCUCGCGCUUGAAUACAUUAGCAUGGAAUAAUGAAAUAGGACGUUUGAUUCUAUUUUGUUGGUUUCUAGGAUCGACGUAAUGAUUAAUAGGGAUAGUUGGGGGCAUUAGUAUUCAAUUGUCAGAGGUGAAAUUCUUGGAUUUAUUGAAGACUAACUACUGCGAAAGCAUUUGCCAAGGAUGUUUUCAUUAAUCAAGAACGAAAGUUAGGGGAUCGAAGACGAUCAGAUACCGUCGUAGUCUUAACCAUAAACUAUGCCGACUAGGGAUCGGAUGAUGUUAAUUUUUUAAUGACUCAUUCGGCGCCUUACGGGAAACCAAAGUGUUUGGGUUC
RNAcentral lists this ribosomal RNA (798 nucleotides) under uncultured Glomus. Its description in RNAcentral is "SSU rRNA". It matches the Rfam family "Eukaryotic small subunit ribosomal RNA", at positions 314 to 1114 of the family's 1831-position model. The record is from RNAcentral. Lineage: Eukaryota; Fungi; Glomeromycota; Glomeromycetes; Glomerales; Glomeraceae.